CUAGCCCAGCACGUCACGGUGCAGCAGUGUGUGUCUGGGUUUGUGGGCACCCAGGUGGCCUGAGUGAAGGACGCGUCAGGUGCGAAGAUCGUCCUGGCCGUCUACAACCCCAUCCUGGGCACCAACUACCCGGCCGAGACCGGAGACCGCAUCAUCUUCCGCCAGCCCAGCCUGGACGAUGCCACGCUGAUCAUCAACCCGUUGCAGAUGGGAGACUACGGCAUCUACAGCUGUGAGUUUUACACCUACCCAGAGGGCAAACAGGAGGGCACAACCAACCUCACCGUGCUGGGCGGGUCGCAGUGGUUUACCGUCGAGCCGGCACAGAGCGACAUAGAUGUCCGCAUUGGGGGAGACGUGGAGUUCACGUGCGGCCGUCAAGUGCUGUCUCCAACAGAAACUGGGUUUGCUAAUCAAAAACGAUCGUCCCAUGGAUCGGAACAUCCGCGGUGAUCCAUCCUGAGUACAGGUCACGGGUGGAUUUAAACUUCACCAGCGGGUCGCUGGUACUGAGUUCGGUGAACGAGUCGGACAACGGGGAUUACACAGUGACACUCGCUGCAGAAGGCGGCGCCGCUCGAGCCUCAGCGACCAUCACACUGAAGGCACUCGAUGACAACCCGGUUGGGCGGAAGAGGAUUGUUGGCUCAUGGUGAAUGGCGACGAGAAAAUGGCGACUGGCAGAGAGAGAGAUGUGUCUCUUUGCUAGACCAGACUGAGAUUUUUUCCCCUUUGCAAUUGUUGUAAUUCUCUCUCCCCCUACGAUGCUUGCCCAACGCUCGGCCCUUCGAGCCAGCACCGCCAUUCACUGCGGUCAUGGCUGAUCAUCCCCAAUCAGUACCCCGUUCCUGCCUUUUCCCCAUAUCCCCUUCGCCCCAUAUCCUCAAGAGCUUAUCUUGCUCCCUCUUGAAAGUAUCCAGAGAACCGGCCUACACCGCCCUCUGAGGCAGAGAAUUCCACAGACUCACAACUGUCUGGGUGAAAAAGUGUGUCCUUAUCUCCGUUCUAAAUGGCUCCCCCCUUAUCCUUAAACUGUGUGUGGCCCAUGGUUCUGGACUCCCCCAACAUCGGGAAAUUACUUCCUGCCUCUAGCGUGUCCAAACCCUUAAUAAUGCUAUAUGUUUCAAUAAGAAUCCCUCUCAUCCUUCUAAAUUUCAGAGUAUACAAACCCAGCCGCUCAAUUCCACAGACUCACAACUCUCUGGAUUGACACCAUCCCACACACACUGGGGGCAAUUUACAAUUAUGGGGUUCUUGUGAUGUUAUGGUCGCCCA
Molecule: long non-coding RNA, 1275 nt
Organism: Leucoraja erinaceus (little skate)
Lineage: Eukaryota; Metazoa; Chordata; Chondrichthyes; Rajiformes; Rajidae
Exons: 3
Source: RefSeq, a predicted model, not a curated record